This 1419-nucleotide long non-coding RNA is filed under the name Sorghum bicolor (sorghum). RNAcentral describes it as "long non-coding RNA (SBIC_LNC006636)". Lineage: Eukaryota; Viridiplantae; Streptophyta; Magnoliopsida; Poales; Poaceae. The record is from RNAcentral.
UAGUUAAAAGAUAGAACAGUCUAAUCAAGUGCCCUGUCUCUUAUUCUUGAUCAGCUAUAGCUCUGGUAUUUUUGCAGAUUUUCAAAUAAAACUCAGUGAUUCCUUGUAUGACUCUCUCGGAUCUCUCUUUUGUAGUAUUUCUGGAUCCUUACCAAGGUAGUGAUAGUAUAUGCCUUCUCUCAAAGUAUAUAAUAUUUAUGGUAUAAGGCAUAGUGACAUUGCCUUCUCUCACCCUACUCUAAUAAGGCUUUUGAUAUCUAGAGCUCAUAGGUGGGAGAUAAAGUAUACAUACUUACAAGACAUUUAUUGCAUAGUCAAACCAUGGAUCCAAAGAAACAAGUCAAGAAGUCAAAUCAAGAUGUGCAUGUGUGGUGAAUGAAUGGUGUAUGGUGAUGAUGGUGAUAACAAUGGUGAAAGUCUAACUCUACUUGUGCUCUUUUGAGGGGACACAUACCUUUCUUGCUUCUUUUGAAACUUUUUGUGGAGAAUGAGAUGCUCUAUAUUUUCUUUUUCUUUCCUCUCAGGUGGGUAUCUUGUACCCCUAAUUCUACUGUCGGACACUUGUCCAUUUUUACCUCUCGUCUCACUUUUUCUUUUCUUUAUAUAAGCAUAAAAUCUUUAUUUGGUUUUCCAUAGUGAUGUAUUUUAAUAUAGUAUUAGUAUAAAUAUAGAUAGAAAGAUAGAAAUACUUAUCGGGAUAAUUGGGGGAGCUCUCCCCCAAGCUGAAUUUUCACGUAAUUUCUCUUGAUGUAGCUAGCAGGUGGUAGAGGUGUGUUUGAAAGUCAGCAACAUUCUGACAGCGAUUCGAAUGUCCUCCGUCUGCUAGUCUUCUUGAUUCUUGAAUUCUCUUGGAGCUCAAAUAGACAACAAAGCUUUGUGGAACUGAUUAGGUGUUAGCAUAAAUAUCUAGCCUUUAUCAUGUUGAUCCUCCUCAAUAAAUAUUACUCCCUUAUUUUUUUAUACUUUUGUUUUAUAAAGCAGAAAAGAAAUAUUUAUUUUAUUUUUAUGCUACCACAGUGAAUGUACUUAUGGGUUUUUUGCCACUCGUAUACUCACAUGGGGCUUACUAUUUUUUAACAUUUUUAUUUUCUUUUUAGGAUAGUAUUAACAUAAUUAACUAAGUGUUGAUGCAAAAGCGGAUCUGCAAACACAAAGGGCUAAUACCCGAUUUAAACGUUAAGGUGUGCCAGCCGAUUUGACCUUACUAUCAGCAAAGGUGGUAACUCGAAUACUUUGGUCCCGACAACAGCGAUGCGCCUGGAUGCCACGGCCAAGAGGUAUUCACGCGGAACUUGAGAACACGUCGAGCUUAAGUCGACGAAUUCCUAAGAACUCGUAAUAAAAGAAAAAAGGUAUGACGAAGUCGUCGAAAAUAGAUGCUAGAAUAUGAGUAAAAACUGGUAUUUGAUUGAUUGAUAG